UUAAUUGAAGCCAAAAAGAGGCGUAUUACUGUUAAUAAUAUAAUUGAAUAAUACAUUCCAAUUAAG
Molecule: transfer RNA, 66 nt
Filed under: Pollostacris sp. OR322
Lineage: Eukaryota; Metazoa; Arthropoda; Insecta; Orthoptera; Acrididae
Description: tRNA-Asn
Source: RNAcentral